UAAGCUAUAGUUUAAUAAAAACACUUAACUUACAAUUAAAAAUUACCUGUAUUAGUUUAA
Molecule: transfer RNA, 60 nt
Filed under: Proasellus cantabricus
Lineage: Eukaryota; Metazoa; Arthropoda; Malacostraca; Isopoda; Asellidae
Description: transfert RNA-C(GTA)
Source: RNAcentral